Molecule: small RNA, 83 nt
Filed under: Marmota monax (woodchuck)
Lineage: Eukaryota; Metazoa; Chordata; Mammalia; Rodentia; Sciuridae
Source: RNAcentral
GCUGGGUGCUGUGGCCCAUGCCUGUAAUCCCAGUGACCUGGGAGGCCGAGGCAGGAGGAUGGUGAGUUCAAAGCCAGCCUCAG